AUUGAACGCUGGCAGCAUGCCUUACACAUGCAAGUCGAACGGCAGCACGGGUGCUUGCACCUGGUGGCGAGUGGCGAACGGGUGAGUAAUACAUCGGAACGUACCUUAUCGUGGGGGAUAACGCAGCGAAAGCUGUGCUAAUACCGCAUACGCCCUGAGGGGGAAAGCGGGGGAUCGCAAGACCUCGCGCGAUUAGAGCGGCCGAUGCCUGAUUAGCUUGUUGGUGGGGGAAAAGCCCACCAAGGCGACGAUCAGUAGCUGGUCUGAGAGGACGGUCAGCCACACUGGGACUGAGACACGGCCCAGACUCGUACGGGAGGCAGCAGUGGGGAAUUUUGGACAAUGGGGGCAACCCUGAUCCAGCAAUGCCGCGUGAGUGAAGAAGGCCUUCGGGUUGUAAAGCUCUUUUGUCAGGGAAGAAACACCGGCUCUAACACAGUCCGGGAAUGACGGUACCUGAAGAAUAAGCACCGGCUAACUACGUGCCAGCAGCCGCAGUAA
RNAcentral lists this ribosomal RNA (501 nucleotides) under uncultured bacterium. RNAcentral's name for it is "partial 16S ribosomal RNA". It matches the Rfam family "Bacterial small subunit ribosomal RNA", at positions 29 to 523 of the family's 1533-position model. The record is from RNAcentral.